Long non-coding RNA from Girardinichthys multiradiatus, 2826 nucleotides. RefSeq lists it as uncharacterized. The record is from RefSeq and is a predicted model, not a curated record. NCBI's taxonomy places the organism in Eukaryota, Metazoa, Chordata, Actinopteri, Cyprinodontiformes, Goodeidae. The transcript has 3 exons.
CUAAGAUCGGGUCACAAAGGUCAUUGGUCUAUGACGAAAACCCUGGGAAACAUCUAAAGACAACCAGGAAGCAUCCUAGAUGUCCAAAUGACCUCAACUGACUACUCCAAACACCCCCACAAUGAUGGAGCUCUUUACCCUUUCGCUAAGGCCACAUGAGACUUGGCUUUGCUUGUCGGAUGUUCUGGAUUCUGUCGAGUACCACCGGAUCGCUGCACUCUCAUGGCAGAGGGAUGGCGAGUUUAUCCAACUAAAUGUACUUUGCCUUGCUGGCUGUUCCUAUCUGGGAGUUCCCCGUUUAGGACGCCAUGGUGGAGGACUUGCUGCUGUGUUUAAGGACAGACACACAUGCAGAGAUACAAAAAAUGACUCCUGACCCAGCUGUCCUCGGUUCGAGUCUCAAACCCGGAGACCUAUGCUUCCUGUUCCUGCUCUCUCUAAACUACUUUACCUACUUUUCAAAAAAUAACAAAAAUAAAGGCCAACAGUGCCACUAAAAAAAAAAAAAAGUAAAAUCAACACAUCAUGCUCCAACCUAAGGAAAUUUAACAGCAGGUGAGAAAUAAUGUAGCUGAUAUCUGUCAGAUUUUGGAACUGCAGCAAACCACAUUAAGAGGCAUUAUCUACAAAUGAUUAAAAAGGGAAACAAUGGUGACCCAUCACAGGAGUAGCUGGCCCACCAAAAUUGCUCAAAGAGUGCAAUGGCAACUCCUCCAGAAGGUUACAAAAGAUCAAGAACAACAUCUGAAGCUAGGAAGACCUCACUUGCCUUAGUUAAGGUCAGUGUGCAUGAUUUACCAAUUAGAAAGAGACAGGGCAAAAUGGACAUCCAUGGGAGAGUUCUGAUACAAAAUCCACUACUGAUGAAAAAGAGUACAAUGAUCCAAAGCACACCAGGAAGUCCAACUAUAAUGGCUCAAAAAAGGCAGAAUGAAGAUUUUAUAGUAAACUAGUCAAAGAUAGGACUUAAAUCAAAAUUGAGAUGCUGUGGCAUAACCUUAAACAGGGUGCUCAUGCUCAAAAACCUUCCAAAGUGAUUGAAUUGAAACAAGGAGUAGGCCAAAAUUCCUACACAGCGAUGUAAAAGACACAUUUGCAGUGAUUUCCAAUUCUUCACCGUAGCUGUUUCCACAAAGGCUGGCACAACCAGUUUGUUUUUUGUUUUUUUUACACAAGGCCAUGUUGGUUUUGAUAGAUUUUUCUCUUUGAUAAAUUAAAUCAUCCUUUCAAAAUGAGGUACUGUUUUUGUUGCAAAUUUUGGUUUUAGUCUGGUUAGUCUUUAUAUGUUAUUUGUCAUAUGUCAUAACUAAUGCAGAAUCUCUUAAAUAAGGUUAUAUCUUUGAGGUAUAUAGCAUUUGUUUAUACAUACCACUAGUAAUUUCUCCUAACACCAAAGCCCAGCACAAACAGUGAAGAGAGAAAUCAGGGUAUGACACACUUCUCCACUGUGUUGAAAACCUCAAAAUCAGAGCCCAUAGAGGUGUAAUGGAACCAUACUCAGCAGCAAUAACUACGGCGACUGUAGCGCUACAGUGAGCAGUGAAGUAGGUCCUUCACAGGGAGUGUAAAAUCCAGCACAGACAAGAUCAGUUUCACAGAACACUAUAUUAUAAUAGGGGUUAUUGUAUGUGAACAAUGAUGGAAUCAAGUGCUUACAGUGAAUUUGGACAGCAACCUUUGUUGUCUGAACUGGCUCCUCUAAGACUGAAAUCUGAAUAAAGCAUAAAACAUAAACUAUUUUUCAUAUUGUAACUGACCUGCUCCCUAAUUAAACAUGUUUCCUUAGCUCCACGCUUCGCUUGUUCUGCAGUAUAAAUGUCAAGUACUCAUGAGCUAAAACCAUAUCAGUUUGUUAAUGAUCAAUGCGAUUUUUUUCCGGCAAGUUUAGCCUGAUUUGCUUGUCAAUGUGUUGUUUAAAUGUUAGUCGAAAUAAACAUGUGAACUACAUCAUGUUUUUGACACCUUUUUCAUGUAUAUUGCACUCCUUUAUUAUAUGAUUAUAUAUUGUCUAAGUACAGGUUUGUUAAAACUAAGAGAGAAAAGGUCUCCAUAGAUUUCCUUCUGUGGACAAACAUGAGCCAUUUGGAGCAUGCUGAAAUGCAUGCUCGAGUAUUCUUAUUAUUUUUUGCUCAGUUGAACUCAGUUUACAACUGUCUGCUCAGAAGAGAGGUUAGGUGGUGAAAAUAAAGAAUAGUCAUUUCUUACCAGGUAUUUUUUUUGGAGCAGUCACUGUAAAAUACAAUUUUACUGUUAUUUUGAAACAGAAAAAACUGGUAAAGCAGUUCACAUUUUAAACAGACUAAUAGACCUGUUCUGAAUAUUAUCAUUAUAAAUUAGGACAAACAAAUAUUUCAAUUAAGCUCUUUUGAUGAAAUUUAAGUUUCUUUAAUCAUGUGAACUGCAUAGUUAUCUGUAAUGUAUUUAAAUGUUCAUGAAACUCGAGAAAAAGACAAUGCUAUACUAACAUCCCUUACCUGUCAUGCUCUGCCCUUUUGUUUACCUUUUCAUUUAUAGGUGUUUUUGUUGUUUACUUCUGUCGGUUUUUACCUUCUAGCUUCUUGUGUUCAUUUUAGUUCAUUUCUUUAUCUGUGUUCCCUGGGUUUUGUCAUUUUGUAGUGUUUCUUAAGUUUCUGUCCUCAUGUUUGUUUUUCUCCCUCAGCAGCCCAGUCUCGUUAGUGUAAUCAGUCACACUUCCCUCAGUUCCCCUGCAACCCGGUUCCACACCUGUUUCAUGUGCCAUCUGAUUACCUGUCACUCAUUUUCAUUGGUUCACACUCCUCUUCCCUCAGUAUAUAUGUUUGGUUAUUUUCAUUGUUCCUCGCUUGG